UGUCAAUAAAAAAUUAUCGUGCAUGUAUGCUUUACUUAAAAGUUUGUAUCAAUUUAAAUAUUAUUUGCCCAAAAAUAUCAAAUUAAUGCUUGUGGAGGCUCUUGUUUGGUCACAGAUAGAUUACUGCAAUGUUGUUUUUUACAAUUACCUCACUUUUGAAAUGAAGAACAAAAUUCAGUUAGCUUAAAAUGCCUUUAUGAGAUUUGUUUUCAACAUACAAAAAUUUGAUCACAUUACACCAAUAUAUGUUGACAAUAAAAUACCAAAAUAUGAAAGGAGAGGAGCUUUACAUUUUGAUUAUUUUACAGCAAGACAAGAUUUACAUAGUCACCACCUAAGAAACAUUAAGUAUAAGAUUUCAAAUACCAGUGCAUGGAACUGAAGGUUCUAAAAGCUCAUUUGCCUACCAGGGUGUAUUUUUAUUAAACUCUGAAGUAUACAACUUAAUAGGAUCAUGCUCACUUUUCACUUUCAAGAAGAAAUACAAGGCUUUUCUGUUAAAUUCACAUAGGUGGCAUGGAAGAACACAUUAUGUAAAUGUAACCUUUUAUGUAAUAUUUUGUUGUUGCAUAAUAAACGUUUAUUUAUUUAUUA
This is a long non-coding RNA of Anthonomus grandis grandis, 594 nucleotides long. RefSeq lists it as uncharacterized. The record is from RefSeq and is a predicted model, not a curated record. The transcript is spliced from 3 exons. Lineage: Eukaryota; Metazoa; Arthropoda; Insecta; Coleoptera; Curculionidae.